GUUUUCCUACAUAAGAGAAUUUGAGAAAAGUAAGAUAAAAUUUGCUAUUAAUUAAAACAUUAAGUCACUAAUGAAGAUAUAGUAAGAUGCAACUGCAGUAAGGGAGGAGCUUCAUAUAUUUCUAUACAAAUGGACAUUUAAUGAUAAUGUAGAGAAAUCAAGGGCUCAUAAGCUCCCUCCAUUCUGAAACCACAUUUCUACCGUAGGAUCACCAAAAAGGGGAAAAUAUCUAUGACAUACAAAUAUAAUAAUUAAGAUAAACUUUACCCAAGUAAACCUUCCCCAAGUUUACCCUCCCCACUUGCAUAAGUAGCUUACAAGGGAAUUUAAGGGAACAAGUAUAUAAACCCCCAAAGUUUCCUUAAACAACCAUCUCUAUCAAACAUUCUCUUCACAAACACACCAACACAACAUAGGAUUGACAAGGAGUCACGGAGGGAGAGUUGCAGAUAAUUGUAGGAUCAAGUCCUACAAUCCAACAACACUUUUUCACCAUCAAAAGGUUAUCUUUACAAGUUAAAGUCGGAGCGAGAAUUUCAAGUUGGAAAUUAAACGAAUGAGGUUAAGCGGUGAUGACGAGGGGCGAUAUUGAGCAGAGAUGGCGAAUGUGUUUCAUUUGGAUAAAUGCUUGGAUGCACCGUGUCUCCAUACACGGUGUCAUUCUCUCUUGACUCUUCCGCUGCAAUGUAAAUAACGAGCUUAUGUUCCUUUGUGUCACGCACUCUGAUAUAUUUUGCCAGCUAUUUCAAUUUUAUUUCAUUCA
Long non-coding RNA from Salvia hispanica, 763 nucleotides. RefSeq lists it as uncharacterized. Lineage: Eukaryota; Viridiplantae; Streptophyta; Magnoliopsida; Lamiales; Lamiaceae. The record is from RefSeq and is a predicted model, not a curated record.